AACAAAUGUGCUCGAGUUAAACGUCAAUAGAAACAAAAGGAAAAGUCACUAGCGGCUGAAAGUUUCCAUUGCACUAUGUCAAGUCAAGUUCCUAGGCUUUAUUAUAUCUGCUGAUUCACGCUCUCUGGAACACAGCCACGUCACUCCUAUUAUCAGCUUCCCAGCCCCAAUCACUGCGAACAAGUGCGCCAAUGGCUGGGUAUGGUCAACUUCUGCAGACAGUGGAUUCCAAACGCGGCUCUCCUCAUUAAGAAGCUGACUCUAUAUUUCCCCUACAAAGAUAUCCUAACCCUUGCUACAGAAAUGACUACCAGGAUCAGAAUUACUUUCAUCCUGAUAUAUGGACUUGCCUUGGCCAGCAUUCAUACACAAGAAGGGACCAUCUAUCUGUGUGAUCCUGAACAACAGGAGACUGUAUACCACCUAUGCCAGGAUGAUGUUCUUAUAUGCCAAAAGACUGAUCCCUUCGAUGUGUGGAACAUUGCCCAAGAUGAUUGUCAUAAUGGUCAACUACACCUACAAGAUCAAACAGUCCAUUUACAGAACA
Molecule: non-coding RNA, 547 nt
Organism: Chiloscyllium plagiosum (whitespotted bambooshark)
Lineage: Eukaryota; Metazoa; Chordata; Chondrichthyes; Orectolobiformes; Hemiscylliidae
Source: RefSeq, a predicted model, not a curated record